This 334-nucleotide long non-coding RNA is filed under the name Homo sapiens (human). Its description in RNAcentral is "novel transcript, sense intronic to PKNOX2". Lineage: Eukaryota; Metazoa; Chordata; Mammalia; Primates; Hominidae. The record is from RNAcentral.
GGCUGGAGUGCAGUGGUGCGACCUUGGCUUGCUGCAACCUCCGCCUCCUGGGUUCAAGCGAUUCUCCUGCAUCAGCCUCCCAAGCAGCUGGGACUACAGAUAAACAACAAUAAAAAAAUGAAGAGACAAGAAGUCAAGAGACUUGCCCAAAGAGACCCAGCUAAUGCAGAUGGCAGAGGCAGGAUUCAAGAACAGAUCUUUUCAUUCUAAGUCCAGGACACUCUCCAGUCACCACAGGCUACUGCCUGUGUGUUGAUUUUAUUUUGUGAGUGGGUUGCAUUCAUUUUCAAGGGUGUGUAGGAAUUUAGAAAGCAGAAUAAACCAAAGAGAGCAA